RNAcentral lists this non-coding RNA (23 nucleotides) under Cricetulus griseus (Chinese hamster). The record is from RNAcentral. Lineage: Eukaryota; Metazoa; Chordata; Mammalia; Rodentia; Cricetidae.
CCUAGGGUUUUGUACAGGCUUGC